This is a microRNA precursor of Nicotiana attenuata, 96 nucleotides long. It matches the Rfam family "MIR6152 microRNA precursor family". Lineage: Eukaryota; Viridiplantae; Streptophyta; Magnoliopsida; Solanales; Solanaceae. The record is from Rfam.
UGGACAAAUUAUUGUAUUCGACUGUAUUCACGGCGUGAAACAGGGGAUUACAAUAUUUUUAAAUGAAAAGUGAAUCAAUUAACAUAAUAGACUCCU